RNAcentral lists this transfer RNA (71 nucleotides) under Polydactylus sextarius (blackspot threadfin). Its description in RNAcentral is "tRNA-Val". It matches the Rfam family "tRNA". Rfam says of the family: Transfer RNA (tRNA) molecules are approximately 80 nucleotides in length. Their secondary structure includes four short double-helical elements and three loops (D, anti-codon, and T loops). Further hydrogen bonds mediate the characteristic L-shaped molecular structure. tRNAs have two regions of fundamental functional importance: the anti-codon, which is responsible for specific mRNA codon recognition, and the 3' end, to which the tRNAs corresponding amino acid is attached (by aminoacyl-tRNA synthetases). tRNAs cope with the degeneracy of the genetic code in two manners: having more than one tRNA (with a specific anti-codon) for a particular amino acid; and 'wobble' base-pairing, i.e. permitting non-standard base-pairing at the 3rd anti-codon position. The record is from RNAcentral. Lineage: Eukaryota; Metazoa; Chordata; Actinopteri; Polynemidae. RNAcentral also lists the same sequence under 1 other name.
CAGGAUAUGGCUAAGUAGUAAAGCAUCUCCCUUACACUGAGAAAUCACCCGUGCAAAUCGGAUUGUCCUGA